GUCCACUUGACAGGCGAGUCAACAUGCUUUCCUCCUGGUCCUUCAGCGUGCUUCUCCUCAGCUCUGUCUUUGGGUCUCCAGUCAAUUAUACCAAUACAAGCAACAGCACAAGUGAGUGUCCUGGCCCUUCCUGUAAUCAGACUGUCAAUGGUUCUUUUCCACCUCCUGAUUCUUCUCCACCUCUUGUUUCCCGUGGUUUUCCGUAAGUUACAAAAACACACACAUUUUAAAUUCUCUUUAUUAUGUAAAAAAAUCUCAGUUGAAUCAUCAUGUGACCAUAGAUGUCGUUAAUGUUCACUAAUUCCAUGUAAACGUUAACCUUGCAGGAGCAGAAAUAAUGUUAGCAAUAAUUGCAGAUUUAAUAAUUUAAUAGUUAGGUUUUACAUAAUCACUAUUUCAAACGUUUAAUGUUAAAAUUCUGUAUUUAGGAAUGUUUAUGUAGAGGACUGAUGCAAGCAUGUCAAUGUCACAUCCGUAAAACAGGCUUAUCGUAAAUCAUUUAUUCCAAACAUUUUCAAAUUUACACUUUACUCUAUGUGUUGAUCCUACUCUCUGUCCUGAUACUAGUCUAAUGCUUUCUGCAGCCGUCGUUAAAAUGAACAGAAUUUAGAGGAAAAACGUAUUCUCUUAUAAAAAUGUGUCCUUUUUAUGUUCAUAAAAUGCUAUAUAUUAUCAGGAUGUCAAAGCUUAUAUAAAUGUUACGUGAUUAUAUUAUUAAUAUGAUCUUAUUGUUGUUGGUGGUGUUGUUAAAAGAUUUUCAGCCUGUUUGUUACCCACAUGUGCCAUCCAUGACAUCGACAAGGGUUUGACACCUGGAGAUGAAAAAGCGGGUGGCGCUGCUUCCGACCCUUUUGGACCUGGCAAGAAAUGAAAGGCAAAGAAGGGGGAUUGUGAAAAACAGAAUCAUACAACAACAUUUCAUGCUUUAACUUAGACUGAAACUGAUAUACAGUACACAUGAGUAUGUUGCUGAUGUACAAUAAGAAAGAAAGAAAGAAAGAAAGAGGUACAUACCAUGUCUGUCCGUGAUAUAUACAGUAUAUUUGCUUAAAAAUUGCAUAUUUUAUCCAUAAAGAAAAAGCAUGGCACACAACCAUCAUGUACAUCCUAUGCUUCACUUGGCUUCAAAAGUUGUCUUUAUGUUGUCAAAUUGGACAUUUCUGCCAUGUCUGCCUUUGAUAUUGAUGCUUUAUUGCUUCAAACUAAUGAAUAAACUUUAUUAAAGUUAACAACAACAA
Clarias gariepinus (North African catfish) is the source of this 1238-nucleotide long non-coding RNA. RefSeq lists it as uncharacterized. The transcript is spliced from 5 exons. The record is from RefSeq and is a predicted model, not a curated record. NCBI's taxonomy places the organism in Eukaryota, Metazoa, Chordata, Actinopteri, Siluriformes, Clariidae.